This 1369-nucleotide ribosomal RNA is filed under the name uncultured bacterium. RNAcentral's name for it is "bacterial SSU rRNA". It matches the Rfam family "Bacterial small subunit ribosomal RNA", at positions 28 to 1381 of the family's 1533-position model. The record is from RNAcentral.
GACGAACGCUGGCGGCGUGCCUAAUACAUGCAAGUAGAACGCUGAAGAGAGGAGCUUGCUCUUCUUGGAUGAGUUGCGAACGGGUGAGUAACGCGUAGGUAACCUGCCUUGUAGCGGGGGAUAACUAUUGGAAACGAUAGCUAAUACCGCAUAACAAUGGAUGACACAUGUCAUUUAUUUGAAAGGGGCAAUUGCUCCACUACAAGAUGGACCUGCGUUGUAUUAGCUAGUAGGUGAGGUAACGGCUCACCUAGGCGACGAUACAUAGCCGACCUGAGAGGGUGAUCGGCCACACUGGGACUGAGACACGGCCCAGACUCCUACGGGAGGCAGCAGUAGGGAAUCUUCGGCAAUGGGGGCAACCCUGACCGAGCAACGCCGCGUGAGUGAAGAAGGUUUUCGGAUCGUAAAGCUCUGUUGUAAGUCAAGAACGAGUGUGAGAGUGGAAAGUUCACACUGUGACGGUAGCUUACCAGAAAGGGACGGCUAACUACGUGCCAGCAGCCGCGGUAAUACGUAGGUCCCGAGCGUUGUCCGGAUUUAUUGGGCGUAAAGCGAGCGCAGGCGGUUUGAUAAGUCUGAAGUUAAAGGCUGUGGCUCAACCAUAGUUCGCUUUGGAAACUGUCAAACUUGAGUGCAGAAGGGGAGAGUGGAAUUCCAUGUGUAGCGGUGAAAUGCGUAGAUAUAUGGAGGAACACCGGUGGCGAAAGCGGCUCUCUGGUCUGUAACUGACGCUGAGGCUCGAAAGCGUGGGGAGCGAACAGGAUUAGAUACCCUGGUAGUCCACGCCGUAAACGAUGAGUGCUAGGUGUUGGAUCCUUUCCGGGAUUCAGUGCCGCAGCUAACGCAUUAAGCACUCCGCCUGGGGAGUACGACCGCAAGGUUGAAACUCAAAGGAAUUGACGGGGGCCCGCACAAGCGGUGGAGCAUGUGGUUUAAUUCGAAGCAACGCGAAGAACCUUACCAGGUCUUGACAUCCCGAUGCUAUUUCUAGAGAUAGAAAGUUACUUCGGUACAUCGGUGACAGGUGGUGCAUGGUUGUCGUCAGCUCGUGUCGUGAGAUGUUGGGUUAAGUCCCGCAACGAGCGCAACCCCUAUUGUUAGUUGCCAUCAUUCAGUUGGGCACUCUAGCGAGACUGCCGGUAAUAAACCGGAGGAAGGUGGGGAUGACGUCAAAUCAUCAUGCCCCUUAUGACCUGGGCUACACACGUGCUACAAUGGUUGGUACAACGAGUUGCGAGUCGGUGACGGCAAGCUAAUCUCUUAAAGCCAAUCUCAGUUCGGAUUGUAGGCUGCAACUCGCCUACACGAAGUCGGAAUCGCUAGUAAUCGCGGAUCAGCACGCCGCGGUGAAUACGUUCCCGGGCCU